Molecule: ribosomal RNA, 434 nt
Filed under: uncultured Lachnospiraceae bacterium
Lineage: Bacteria; Bacillati; Bacillota; Clostridia; Lachnospirales; Lachnospiraceae
Description: partial 16S ribosomal RNA
Rfam family: Bacterial small subunit ribosomal RNA
Source: RNAcentral
ACGGAAGGCAGCAGUGGGGAAUAUUGCACAAUGGGGGAAACCCUGAUGCAGCGACGCCGCGUGAGUGAAGAAGUUAUUCGUAAUGUAAAGCUCUAUCAGCAGGGAAGAAAAUGACGGUACCUGACUAAGAAGCCCCGGCUAACUACGUGCCAGCAGCCGCGGUAAUACGUAGGGGGCAAGCGUUAUCCGGAUUUACUGGGUGUAAAGGGAGCGUAGACGGUCUGGCAAGUCUGAUGUGAAAGGCAGGGGCUCAACUCCUGGACUGCAUUGGAAACUGUCAGUCUUGAGUGUCGGAGAGGUAAGCGGAAUUCCUAGUGUAGCGGUGAAAUGCGUAGAUAUUAGGAGGAACACCAGUGGCGGAGGCGGCUUACUGGACGAUAACUGACGUUGAGGCUCGAAAGCGUGGGGAGCAAACAGGAUUAGAUACCCUGGUA